RNAcentral lists this ribosomal RNA (496 nucleotides) under uncultured bacterium. RNAcentral's name for it is "partial 16S ribosomal RNA". It matches the Rfam family "Bacterial small subunit ribosomal RNA", at positions 29 to 507 of the family's 1533-position model. The record is from RNAcentral.
AUGAACGCUGGCGGCGUGCCUAAUACAUGCCAGUCGAGCGAACAGACGAGGAGCUUGCUCCUCUGACGUUAGCGGCGGACGGGUGAGUAACACGUGGAUAACCUACCUAUAAGACUGGGAUAACUUCGGGAAACCGGAGCUAAUACCGGAUAAUAUAUUGAACCGCAUGGUUCAAUAGUGAAAGACGGCUUUGCUGUCACUUAUAGAUGGAUCCGCGCCGCAUUAGCUAGUUGGUAAGGUAACGGCUUACCAAGGCAACGAUGCGUAGCCGACCUGAGAGGGUGAUCGGCCACACUGGAACUGAGACACGGUCCAGACUCCUACGGGAGGCAGCAGUAGGGAAUCUUCCGCAAUGGGCGAAAGCCUGACGGAGCAACGCCGCGUGAGUGAUGAAGGUCUUCGGAUCGUAAAACUCUGUUAUUAGGGAAGAACAAAUGUGUAAGUAACUAUGCACGUCUUGACGGUACCUAAUCAGAAAGCCACGGCUAACUACGUG